GACAGUGGUAGUUCAGUGGUUAAGAUGUUGUACUUGUGCUUGGAAGCUUGUGAGUUCAAAUUCCAGCACUGCCA
Molecule: non-coding RNA, 74 nt
Organism: Pangasius djambal
Lineage: Eukaryota; Metazoa; Chordata; Actinopteri; Siluriformes; Pangasiidae
Source: the annotation of a GenBank genome assembly